UACGAGGGGGGCGAGCGUUGUUCGGAAUUAUUGGGCGUAAAGGGUGCGUAGGCGGUGCGGUAAGUCUGUUGUGAAAUCUCCGGGCUCAACUCGGAGUCUGCAUCAGAAACUGCCGUGCUGGAGUGUGGGAGAGGUGAGUGGAAUUCCCGGUGUAGCGGUGAAAUGCGUAGAGAUCGGGAGGAACACCUGCGGCGAAAGCGGCUCACUGGACCAUAACUGACGCUGAUGCACGAAAGCUAGGGGAGCAAACAGG
RNAcentral lists this ribosomal RNA (253 nucleotides) under uncultured bacterium. RNAcentral describes it as "partial 16S ribosomal RNA". It matches the Rfam family "Bacterial small subunit ribosomal RNA", at positions 524 to 776 of the family's 1533-position model. The record is from RNAcentral.